This 253-nucleotide ribosomal RNA is filed under the name uncultured bacterium. Its description in RNAcentral is "partial 16S ribosomal RNA". It matches the Rfam family "Bacterial small subunit ribosomal RNA", at positions 524 to 776 of the family's 1533-position model. The record is from RNAcentral.
UACGUAGGUGGCAAGCGUUGUCCGGAUUUAUUGGGUUUAAAGGGUGCGUAGGCGGUCCUAUAAGUCAGUUGUGAAAUACGGCAGCUUAACUGUCGAGGUGCAAUUGAUACUGCAGGACUUGAGUACAGACGAGGUAGGCGGAAUUGACGGUGUAGCGGUGAAAUGCUUAGAUAUCGUCAAGAACACCGAUAGCGAAGGCAGCUUACUAGACUGUAACUGACACUGAGGCACGAAAGCGUGGGGAUCAAACAGG